CAGAUUGAACGCUGGCGGAAUGCUUUACACAUGCAAGUCGAACGGCAGCACGGGGGCAACCCUGGUGGCGAGUGGCGAACGGGUGAGUAAUACAUCGGAACGUGCCCAGUCGUGGGGGAUAACUACGCGAAAGCGUAGCUAAUACCGCAUACGAACUCUGGUUGAAAGCGGGGGAUCGCAAGACCUCGCGCGAUUGGAGCGGCCGGUGGCAGAUUAGGUAGUUGGUGGGGUAAAGGCUCACCAAGCCGACGAUCUGUAGCUGGUCUGAGAGGACGACCAGCCACACU
RNAcentral lists this ribosomal RNA (287 nucleotides) under uncultured soil bacterium. RNAcentral describes it as "partial 16S ribosomal RNA". It matches the Rfam family "Bacterial small subunit ribosomal RNA", at positions 25 to 314 of the family's 1533-position model. The record is from RNAcentral.